RNAcentral lists this ribosomal RNA (455 nucleotides) under Reticulitermes flavipes (eastern subterranean termite). RNAcentral describes it as "partial 16S ribosomal RNA". Lineage: Eukaryota; Metazoa; Arthropoda; Insecta; Blattodea; Rhinotermitidae. The record is from RNAcentral.
CUUAAUCCAACAUCGAGGUCGCAAACCCCCCUGCCGAUAAGAACUCUCAAGGGAGAUAACGCUGUUAUCCCUAAGGUAAUUUAUUCUUACAAUCAAAAUAAAUGGGAUAAGCAAAUAUAAAUAAAUAUAACAACAUAAAGGAGGGGUUAAAUAAUAUCCCUCCCAUCACCCCAACAAAACAUAUUAAACAGCCCUAGUGAACCCUCACAAACAGAAAGAGACCAUAAUAAAUGUAAAACUCUAUAGGGUCUUCUCGUCCCAUAAAAACAUCUAAGAAUUUUAACUCAAAGACCAAAUUCAAUAAACAAUUCAAAAUUAAGACAGCUCAUGCCUCGUCAAGCCAUUCAUACCAGAUCACAAUUAAAGAACUAAUGACUAUGCUACCUUUGCACGGUCAAAAUACCGCGGCCCUUCAACAUUCAAGGUCAGUGGGCAGGCCAUACUUCAAAAACUAA